GACGUAGGAGGCGAGCGUUGUCCGGAUUCAUUGGGCGUAAAGAGCACGCAGGCGGUUUGGCAAGUCGGACGUGAAAAUCCGGGGCUCAACCCCGGACCUGCAUCCGAAACUGCCCGACUAGAGGUAGGUAGGGGAGAUCGGAAUUCCUGGUGUAGCGGUGAAAUGCGCAGAUAUCAGGAGGAACACCGGUGGCGAAGGCGGAUCUCUGGGCCGUAACUGACGCUGAGGAGCGAAAGCAUGGGGAGCGAACAGG
This 253-nucleotide ribosomal RNA is filed under the name uncultured bacterium. RNAcentral's name for it is "partial 16S ribosomal RNA". It matches the Rfam family "Bacterial small subunit ribosomal RNA", at positions 524 to 776 of the family's 1533-position model. The record is from RNAcentral.